CGGCGGCUGCUACCUGCAGUCGAACGGGCGUAGCGUACCUUGCUGUGCACGGGUGAGUAACGCGUGGAAACGUGCCUUUUGGUUCGGACCAUCUGGGGGAACUUCCACUAAUACCUGAUAAACCCUUACGGGGAAAGAUUUAUCGCCAAAAGAUCAUCCCACGACUGAUUACCUAUGUGGUGACGUAAUGGCUAAUCACUGCUACGAUCAGUAACUGGUCUGAGAGGAUGAUAUCCCACAUUGGGACUGAAACACGAUCCACCCUCCUACAGGAGGCACCAGUGGGGAAUAUUGGACAAUGGGGGCAACCCUGAUCCAUCCAUGCCGCGUGAGUGAUGAAUGCCCUAGGGUUGUAAGGCUCUUUUGUGCCUUAAGAUUAUGACGGUCCCUCAGGAAUAAACCCCGGCUAACUUCUUGCCAGCGUCCGCGAUAAUACUAACGGAGCUAGAGUUGCUCGGAAUCUCUGGGCCUAAAGGGUGCGUAAGCGGGUUUCUGAGUCCGAUGUGAAAACCUGGAGCUCAACUCCCGAGCUGCCUUUGAUACUGGAAAUCUUGAUUAUGGCACAGGUGACUGGAACUGCAAUUGUCUAGGUGAUGUUCGAAUAUAUUCCCAAGAACACCGGUGGCGAACGCGGCUCACUGGGCCAUUACUGACACUGAUGCACGAACGCGUGUGGAGCAAACAGGAUUAUGUACCCUGGUAGUCCCCGCCGUACACGAUGAAUGCCAGCCGUUAGUGGGAUUUACUCACGAGUGUCGCAGCUAUCGCUUUAUCAUUCGUCUUGGGUAGUACUGUCGCAAGAUAAAACUCAAUGAAUUGA
RNAcentral lists this ribosomal RNA (820 nucleotides) under uncultured Stenotrophomonas sp. RNAcentral describes it as "bacterial SSU rRNA". It matches the Rfam family "Bacterial small subunit ribosomal RNA", at positions 40 to 913 of the family's 1533-position model. The record is from RNAcentral. Lineage: Bacteria; Pseudomonadati; Pseudomonadota; Gammaproteobacteria; Lysobacterales; Lysobacteraceae.